Molecule: ribosomal RNA, 396 nt
Filed under: Triticum aestivum (bread wheat)
Lineage: Eukaryota; Viridiplantae; Streptophyta; Magnoliopsida; Poales; Poaceae
Description: partial small subunit ribosomal RNA
Source: RNAcentral
AUGAAUGAUGAGGUUAUGUCCCUAUGUAUCGAGAUGAACAACGUAGCAUCCCGUGCAGCAAGUGGUACUAAUCUGAAGAAAUACAUGUUCUCAGUCCACGCGGGGAUCUUACUAAAACAAGACCCAACAACCUUCCAACCAGCAAAACUCAUACCCGAGCUUGAAAGGGCUAUGACAAAGUUCAAGGCGAAUAAAUAUGACCUUCUUUUUGUCACAAUUGUUCAUGAAAAGCAUUGGAUAAUUGUUUGCGCAAACUUGCUAUACAAGCAGUGGAAUGUAUUUGACUCAAUCCAUUCAAAAGGGAAACAAUCUCCUUUGAAGAAGCAGGCCAAUAACCUGAUAGGCUCAUGCUCUCUAUUUUUAUUUUUUCUGUUUCCCUUUGAUUCAUCUACAUAA